AACGAACGCUGGCGGCAGGCUUAACACAUGCAAGUCGAACGAGCUGGCGGCUUCGGUGCCCGUUGCUAGUGGCGCACGGGUGAGUCACACGUGGGAAUAUGCCCUUUAGUACGGAAUAACAAAGCGAAACUUUGGCUAAUACCGUAUACGCCCUUCGUGGGAAAGAUUUAUCGCUAAAGGAUUAGCCCGCGUCUGAUUAGGUAGUUGGUGAGGUAAUGUCUCACCAAGUCGGCGAUCAGUAGCUGGUCUGAGAUGAUGCUCAGCGACAACGGGACUGAGACACGGCCCAGAACUGGACGGCAAGCAGCCAUGUGGAAUAUUGGCCUAGGCAGGACACCCUUAGCCAGCCACGCCGAGUGCGUGAAGAAGGCCCUCGGGUUGUAAAGCUCUCUUGAAGGGGACGAUGAUGACGGUACCCGGAUAAGAAGCCCCGGAAACCCUGGUG
RNAcentral lists this ribosomal RNA (445 nucleotides) under uncultured bacterium. RNAcentral describes it as "partial 16S ribosomal RNA". It matches the Rfam family "Bacterial small subunit ribosomal RNA", at positions 29 to 507 of the family's 1533-position model. The record is from RNAcentral.